RNAcentral lists this ribosomal RNA (507 nucleotides) under uncultured bacterium. Its description in RNAcentral is "bacterial SSU rRNA". It matches the Rfam family "Bacterial small subunit ribosomal RNA", at positions 23 to 518 of the family's 1533-position model. The record is from RNAcentral.
CUCAGGAUGAACGCUAGCUACAGGCUUAACACAUGCAAGUCGCGGGGCAUCAUGGCAUGUAGCAAUACAUGCUGAUGGCGACCGGCGGAUGGGUGAGUAACGCGUAUCCAACCUGGCCCUAUCUCGGGUACAGCCCCUCGAAAGAGGGAUUAAUCCCCGAUGUUCCCUGGGAUCCGCAUGUUUUCCAGGGCAAAGGCAUUUGUCGGAUAGGGAUGGGGAUGCGUUCCAUUAGGCAGUCGGCGGGGUAACGGCCCACCGAGCCUACGAUGGAUAGGGUUCUGAGAGGAAGGCCCCCCACACUGGGACUGAGACACGGCCCAGACUCCUACGGGAGGCAGCAGUGAGGAAUAUUGGUCAAUGGCGGUAACGCUGAACCAGCCAAGUAGCGUGAGGGAUUACGGCCCUAUGGGUUUUAAACCUCUUUUGUUAGGGAGCAACCGGUGGCACUUGUGCCAUUCUGCGAGUACCUUUCGAAUAAGCAUCGGCUAACUCCGUGCCAGCAGCUGC